RNAcentral lists this long non-coding RNA (1750 nucleotides) under Phaseolus vulgaris (common bean). RNAcentral's name for it is "long non-coding RNA (PVUL_LNC002753)". Lineage: Eukaryota; Viridiplantae; Streptophyta; Magnoliopsida; Fabales; Fabaceae. The record is from RNAcentral.
GAUUAUGAAUCAUCUUAUGUGGACAAGCUUUAGAAUAAGUACGAGAGAAUGUGAGGGCCGAAGGCAUAUUCUUUUAUUACAUUAGAAAGCGCAACUGUACACGAAAAACAUAGUAAAUCCUAUCUAAUGAACAAAGUACACCAUAACAAACUUUACUACCAGUCGCACUUUUCUCAAACCAAAAGGUAUUUACAUGGCCCAUCUGCAUGCCUUACAGUGACAAACACGUAAAAACAUCACUCCAUUAGUAUACUGUAUCCGAACAUGGAUCUAGUACUCUGUGGCUGCAAGAACUGCUGACCCCUCCACCUGAUAAUUCAUCCAAUCAAAUACACAGAACAGAUCACAAGAGAUGUAUUCAAGUUCAUCUAUGGAGAGAGCAACACAGACAAGAAAUAAACCAUGAAUGCAAAAAUCAAUUUUGUAAGUCAAGCUUUAAGGAAUUAAAAAUAAUAUUUUGUGGUGUAGUUUCCAAUUUCUUUUUUGUUAACCCAGGCCAAAGACUUUGUACCUAAACAAACCUGCCAACCACUUGCAAAACAAAUCAAACAUACAUUCUAAUUUUUUGUUUUUUUCUAUUAGGGAUGUUUCAAGGACAAGUGUGAGUAUAUUAAAAUUUAGUUGCAGCUUGCAAUACUAGUUACAUAAUUAAUUUCAACUCUUAACUUUUUUAAACUCUAGAAAGAGAUAUGGAGAUUGAGUUUAAAUUAGUCUAAUCCUUUCAUUUUGGAAACCUAACCUUUGAUUUAGUGCAAUGUUCUGUAUGCAUGGCAUUUUUAUGAACUUCUGUUCUAUUGUGUCUGACCUCACAGUUUUCCUUUGUACUAAUGUGGUGUUAACCUCCUAUUACUACUUGGACUGAUUCUCUAUUCUAAACAGAUGAAAAGAAUAUCCUGCAAAGAGAGCUUUGAGUUGUAGCAGCAAUAAUAUUUAAACUCUUGUCGUCUAGUUACCUUGAAGGUCGCACCCCAGAUUUCCUCUUCCUCUGCAGGUACUGCAGUAAUCUUAUUCUUUGGAUUCUCAUAGCAUCUCAGUCCUCCAACUGCUGUAGAGUAGAAACAUCCUGUAAAAUUCAGAGAAUAACUAAUGAGGGAAUACUUACAUUUUUGGGUAUAAAUAAGAAAUAAAACAUGGACAAUGUCGUAGUAUAAAAUCUCCAAGACUUUUGUGCAUGUAAUAUUUUUCAUGUUUCCCCUGUUCUACUAUUAAAUCUGACAUAUUAUGAAUUAUCAUCACCUUAAAGGUGAGGGGGAGAACAUCACUCUAGAAUCACAAACUAUAAGCACCUCUGUAGGUCACUUGUAACAAGUAGUUGUCAAAAUGUUGAGAAUUGUGAUAGGCUCUGAUAAAAUUAAACACACCUUCAGGGAAAGAAGCAAGGGACUUGCCACAAGAACCUUUAAGCAAAUCUGCAUCAUCAGCAAAAGCUACAUAUCCAUCAGCUGUAAUUCCCCAAUAGAGAGGAACUUUACCAGCUUGAUCCUGUAAAAAACAAUCCAAGCCCAAGGUUGAGUAAAAAAGACUGAAGAUCAUGACAAAUUGAUGGGAUUGUUAGAUAACUUACAGAAGCCACAAAGAGGGUAGAAGUGGACUUGUCAAAAACUAUAAAAGCAAAGUUCCCGCUGAGGUGACAAACAACACGGUUGGCAGGGUAGGGUGCUCGAUCACGUAAAGCUUUGUAAGCCUCAAUCACCAAAAUCACUUCAGUGGCUGACUUGGCCAGUCCAUACUGUUGUCUCAGGCUGCCCAA